RNAcentral lists this ribosomal RNA (253 nucleotides) under uncultured bacterium. RNAcentral's name for it is "partial 16S ribosomal RNA". It matches the Rfam family "Bacterial small subunit ribosomal RNA", at positions 524 to 776 of the family's 1533-position model. The record is from RNAcentral.
UACGAAGGGGGCUAGCGUUGCUCGGAAUCACUGGGCGUAAAGCGCACGUAGGCGGAUUGCUAAGUCAGGGGUGAAAUCCUGGAGCUCAACUCCAGAACUGCCUUUGAUACUGGCGACCUUGAGUCCGGGAGAGGUGAGUGGAACUGCGAGUGUAGAGGUGAAAUUCGUAGAUAUUCGCAAGAACACCAGUGGCGAAGGCGGCUCACUGGCCCGGUACUGACGCUGAGGUGCGAAAACGUGGGGAGCAAACAGG